AGAAUCUGCCUUUUGGACGGGGAUAACAGUUGGAAACGACUGCUAAGACCCGAUGUGCCUAUGGGUGAAAGUAAUUUAGCCAGAAGAUGAGCUCGCGUCAGAUUAGCUAGUUGGAGUGGUAACGGCACACCAAGGCGACGAUCUGUAGCUGGUCUGAGAGGAUGACCAGCCACACUGGGACUGAGACACGGCCCAGACUCCUACGGGAGGCAGCAGUGGGGAAUUUUCCGCAAUGGGCGAAAGCCUGACGGAGCAAGACCGCGUGGGGGAGGAAGGUCUGUGGAUUGUAAACCCCUUUUGUCAAGGAAGAACACAAUGACGGUACUUGACGAAUCAGCAUCGGCUAACUCCGUGCCAGCAGCCGCGGUAAUACGGAGGAUGCAAGCGUUAUCCGGAUUUAUUGGGCGUAAAGCGUCCGUAGGUGGUUGUUCAAGUCUGCUGUCAAAGCGCGAGGCUUAACUUCGUAAAGGCAGUGGAAACUGAGCGACUUGAGAAUGAUAGGGGCAGAGGGAAUUCCCAGUGUAGCGGUGAAAUGCGUAGAGAUUGGGAAGAACACCGGUGGCGAAAGCGCUCUGCUGGGUCAUAUCUGACACUGAGGGACGAAAGCUAGGGGAGCGAAAGGGAUUAGAUACCC
Molecule: ribosomal RNA, 634 nt
Filed under: uncultured cyanobacterium
Lineage: Bacteria; Bacillati; Cyanobacteriota
Description: bacterial SSU rRNA
Rfam family: Bacterial small subunit ribosomal RNA
Source: RNAcentral